Lonchura striata (white-rumped munia) is the source of this 141-nucleotide non-coding RNA. The record is from RefSeq and is a predicted model, not a curated record. Lineage: Eukaryota; Metazoa; Chordata; Aves; Passeriformes; Estrildidae.
CGGGGCCAUGUGGGCGGCGGCGGCGGCGGCGCGGGGGCUCCGCGGGGCCCGGCUCAGCUCCUGGCUGCCCCAGAGGGGCCCGCUCCGAGGGAGUCACUGGCAGAGCUCAUUGCUGGAGUCCAGGACAUCCCUCCCUGUGAG